GACGAACGCUGGCGGCGUGCCUAACACAUGCAAGUCGAGCGGGGUUGAAGCGAGGGGUAACUCGGACUUCUACCUAGCGGCGGACGGGUGAGUAACGCGUGGGCAACCUGCCUCAAGGUUUGGGAUAACAGCUCGAAAGGGCUGCUAAUACCGGAUAUGCCUGUGGCCUCGCAUGGGGCUAUGAGCAAAGGGGAAACCCGCCUUGAGAUGGGCCCGCGUCCCAUCAGCUAGUUGGUGAGGUGAAGGCUCACCAAGGCGACGACGGGUAGCCGGCCUGAGAGGGUGACCGGCCACACUGGGACUGAGACACGGCCCAGACUCCUACGGGGGGCAGCAGUGGGGGAUCUUGCACAAUGGGCGAAAGCCUGAUGCAGCGACGCCGCGUGAGCGAAGAAGGCCUUCGGUUGUAAGACUCUGUCUGGAGGGACGAAGAAAUAGACGGUACCUCCGGAGGAAGACCACGGCUAACUACGUGCCAGCAGCCGCGGUAACUCGUCUCUA
Molecule: ribosomal RNA, 501 nt
Filed under: uncultured bacterium
Lineage: Bacteria
Description: bacterial SSU rRNA
Rfam family: Bacterial small subunit ribosomal RNA
Source: RNAcentral